CCUACGGGUGACAGCAGUGAGGAAUAUUGGUCAAUGGACGAAAGUCUGAACCAGCCAUGCCGCGUGCAUGAAGACGGCUCUCUGAGUUGUAAACUGCUUUUGUACAAGGGUAAACCUGAAUACGUGUAUUCAACUGGAAUUACUGUACGAAUAAGGAUCGGCUAACUCCGUGCCAGCAGCCGCGGUAAUACGGAGGAUCCGAGCGUUAUCCGGAUUUAUUGGGUUUAAAGGGUGCGUAGGCGGAUUGAUAAGUUAGGGGUGAAAUGCCCGGGCUCAACUCGGGAACUGCCUCUAAUACUGUUGCUCUAGAGAGUAGAAGCGGUAGGCGGAAUGUAUGGUGUAGCGGUGAAAUGCUUAGAGAUGAUACAGAACACCGAUUGCGAAGGCAGCUUCCCAAUAUAUAACUGACGUUGAGGUACGAAAGCGUGGGGAGCAAACAGGAUUAGAUACCCGAGUAGUC
RNAcentral lists this ribosomal RNA (460 nucleotides) under uncultured bacterium. Its description in RNAcentral is "partial 16S ribosomal RNA". It matches the Rfam family "Bacterial small subunit ribosomal RNA", at positions 338 to 795 of the family's 1533-position model. The record is from RNAcentral.